Molecule: long non-coding RNA, 2582 nt
Filed under: Gossypium barbadense (sea-island cotton)
Lineage: Eukaryota; Viridiplantae; Streptophyta; Magnoliopsida; Malvales; Malvaceae
Description: long non-coding RNA (GBAR_LNC000185)
Source: RNAcentral
UAUAACAUAAAAUAAUCCCAGAAAAAUAAUUAAAAUGGCCUUAUUACAACCCAAAACCAAAUAAUAAUAUUAAUAAGAUAAAACUUAUAAAGAAAUAAAUCGGCUACUUAUUGCAAUUAAAAGAAACAGAAACAGUAGUGUGGCCAUCUCCGAGUCCUUCGCAGCUCCAAACCAUCUAAGCUUAGGGAUUACCUGCAUAGUUAGAAACGGGGUGAGUUUACGAAAACUCAGUGUGUAACCCCAAUAACAAACAAACAGUAAAUAACACGGUAUCAGUACAAUCUGGGCCAAAACCCUAUUUAGUCUUGACAUAUACUGGGCCGAAGCCUUUCCAUAAAUCAUAUCACUAGGCCGAAGCCUUUUCAUAAAUCAUAUCACUGGGCCGAAGCCUUUUCAUAUAUCAUAUCACUGGGCCGAAACCUUUUCAUAAAUCAUAUCACUGGGCCGAAGCCUUUUCAUAAAUCAUAUCACUAGGCCGAAGCCUUUACUGUAAACAGUAUGGCCCUUAGGCCCAUUUCAAUAUCACAUGUAAUGUCAAUGGAUGUAUGCAAGCCCAUUUCAAUAUCACAUGUAAUGUCAAUGAAUGUAUGCAAGCCCAUUUCAAUAUCACAUGUAAUUUCAAUGAAUGUAUGCAAGCCCAUCUGGGGAGACUACUCGACCCACCAUCCGCUACUCUCCACCCAUACCAACCAAGCUCUUCAUGUGGGGAAUAACUCAACCCACCCAACCAAACUCUCCACUGGCAGCAUAGCUGCUUUAUCAUAUAACUAGAGGCCUAGCCUCUUUUAAUAACUGGGGCAAAGCCCUUUUUGAUAAACUAGGGCAAAGCCCUUUUCGGUAAACUGGGGCAGAGCCCUUUUAGCACUUCUUCCAUCAAUAUAACCCAUAUCCCAUGCAAUAUGUCAUGUAUGCAGAAUGUCAUGCCCAUAUUUGAAUCAAACAAUCACAGUUAAGUCAUUCAUAUCACCAACAUAUAUUCACCAUCAAAUUCGUCAACCACACAGUCCAAGUCAGUCACUUGCCCACAAGGGCAAAACAAUCAUUUUUCAUAUUAUAAGGGUAUUUUCAUAAUUUUACCAAAAAUCAGGGUUUUCCAUGUUUAUUACAAUUUUCAAUAUUUCCGAGUGUUUAAACAAUGAUCUUUAACCCACUUAUCAAAUUCGGGCUUUUGGGCCCAAAACCCCUAAUGGGCCCUACGAAAGCUGAUUUAGCCCACUAAGCCUGCUUAACCCAAAUUUUACAACAAUACUGACCGUGUUAACAUGCAACUUUUCCAAAUUCUAUUUUCUAUCAAUUUUACCCAAAUGGGCCCAAAAGCCCAUUUGGCCCAAUUCCUGUCCAUUGAGGCCCAACUUACCAUCGUGCACAAAAUUGAGUUCUUACCCGUUCCAUCGAUCCAAACACUGAUCUUAUCAUAUUUAUCGUAUCUAUACCCACACGCAGCAUUACAAGUUCCCGAAAUGCCAGUAUUUUAGCAUUUCAGCUUCUCAGCAGAUAUUAAUCUAAGCUACUACGAGGGUUAGUACACACCUGUUAUAGGUUAAAGUUGAAACGUUUCCAUAAUCAAUCACCUACGAUAACCACCACCUGUAACUCAAACUUAACUAAUCCAAUAUCAAUAUAUGUAAAUCCUAAGCACAUCAGUCAUACGGAACAUAAGGGCAUAUUCUUUAUUUUACCAUACAAGGGUAUUACGGUCACUUUACCCUACAGGGGCUUUACGGUCUUUUUACCUACAAGGGUGUUCUGGUAAAUCUACAAACCAAGGGUAUUUCAGUAAUUUUGUAAACCAAUGGUAUUUUUAUAAUUUUUAAAAAGUCAAGGGUAUUUUUGUAAUUUUGUAAAUUAGUGGUAUUUUAGUAAUUUUACAAAUUGAGGGUAUUUCGGUAAUUUCACAAACCAGUGGUAUUUCGGUAAUUUUACAAACUAGGUGUAUUUUAGUAAUUUUACAAACUAGAGGUAUUUUGGUAAUUCUAUCCUACAGGGGUAUUUCAGUAAUUUCACAAUCGAGGGUAAAACGGUAAUUUUGUAAACUGAGGGUAAAAUGGUAAUUUUAUAAAUCAAGGGUAAAAUGGUAAUUCUAUAAAUCGAGGGUAAAAUGGUAAUUUUAUAAAUUGAGGAUAAAAUAGUAAUUUUGUAAAUCGAGGAUGAAACGGUAAUUUUGUAAAUCGAGGGUGAAACAGUAAUUCUAUAAAUCGAGGGUAAAAUGGUAAUUCUAUAAAUCGAGGGCAUUUCAAUAAUUUGGUAAACUAAAGUAUUCUAAACAAUGAUAACAAUACGAAUGGGCUAAAGCCUAUUCUCGGCCCAAAUGGGCCCACACGCUCGUGUGGCCCUUUUAGCCCAAAUCUAGCCACAAAUAUGAGAUUCACCUAGCCUAAUCCAAUAUUUACUACACAAUCAAACAACUUAUCCAAUUGGGCCCAUAGGCCCACAUGACCCCUUUCGGCCCAUCGGGCCCGAAGUAGCCAUCCUACAGCUAAAGUAGCUAGAAAUACACACCUGAUAGGAGACUGGAGUUAAUCCACGCUCCGAGCACUUUUAGCGACGCCCAACCCAAACGAGCACGCCAUACAGCGAAAGGG